UAGCUCAGUUGGUUAGAGCAUGGUGCUAAUAAUACCAAGGUCAUGGGUUUGAUCCCUGU
This 59-nucleotide transfer RNA is filed under the name Manacus vitellinus (golden-collared manakin). It matches the Rfam family "tRNA", at positions 8 to 63 of the family's 71-position model. Rfam says of the family: Transfer RNA (tRNA) molecules are approximately 80 nucleotides in length. Their secondary structure includes four short double-helical elements and three loops (D, anti-codon, and T loops). The record is from Rfam by way of RNAcentral. Lineage: Eukaryota; Metazoa; Chordata; Aves; Passeriformes; Pipridae.